GAAAGUAAAUUAAAUUAUCGCUGCUAACGAUAAUAAGAAUUAUGUUAAGUGGUUCUACUUUCU
RNAcentral lists this transfer RNA (63 nucleotides) under Schistosoma spindalis. Its description in RNAcentral is "Schistosoma spindale tRNA-Ser". Lineage: Eukaryota; Metazoa; Platyhelminthes; Trematoda; Strigeidida; Schistosomatidae. The record is from RNAcentral.